RNAcentral lists this long non-coding RNA (310 nucleotides) under Pan troglodytes (chimpanzee). RNAcentral describes it as "long non-coding RNA NONPTRT004248". The record is from RNAcentral. Lineage: Eukaryota; Metazoa; Chordata; Mammalia; Primates; Hominidae.
CCCUAUAUAGUUUAUGCCAACAAGACUACUCAGGAUGGGGGAUGACCAUGCCAGGAAAACCAACCAUGUGAUUAGAGAGCUGGGGCUUUGAGCCAUGUGGUAUCAACUCAACCUUUGGGAAGAGGAAGAGAACAAGAGAUUACGAACCAUGGGCAAUCAUUCAAUUGAUCACGAGAGCAAAGCAUCCUGACUCCAAGAAGAGAGGGCGAAAGAAGCGUCACCUUCAGCAUCCUUCUAGAUCUCGCCCUAAAUACAUGAACUGGUCAACUUUAUUAAAAACUUCAAAUCUACAUUCUUGCAGGGACAGUUG